AGAAAAGUAAGCUAAAUUUAAGCUAAUGGGUUCAUAUCCCAAAUAUAGAGUAUAUCUCUCUUUUCUA
Molecule: transfer RNA, 67 nt
Filed under: Pliacanthopus bimaculatus
Lineage: Eukaryota; Metazoa; Arthropoda; Insecta; Mantodea; Nanomantidae
Description: tRNA-Met
Source: RNAcentral